This 364-nucleotide unclassified non-coding RNA is filed under the name uncultured Chloroflexota bacterium. Its description in RNAcentral is "uncultured Chloroflexi bacterium contains 16S-23S intergenic spacer region". Lineage: Bacteria; Bacillati; Chloroflexota. The record is from RNAcentral.
UCCGGGUUGGUCCCGGCGGUCCGACCAGACUUGGUAACUGGUCGCGGGGGUUGCGCUCGUUGCGGGACUUAACCCAACACCUCACGGCACGAGCUGACGACAGCCGUGCAGCACCUGUGCACGCUCCCUCGCGGGUCGCUCCCCUUUCGGCUCGCUACCACGUGCAUGUCAAGCCCGGGUAAGGUUCUUCGCGUUGCAUCGAAUUAAACCACACGCUCCGCUGCUUGUGCGGGCCCCCGUCAAUUCCUUUGAGUUUUAGCCUUGCGGCCGUAGUCCCCAGGCGGGGCGCUUAUCGCGUUAGCUGCGGCACCGGGGGGGUCGAUACCCCCGACACCUAGCGCCCAUCGUUUACGGCGUGGACUAC